GUAGGUGGCAAGCGUUGUCCGGAAUUAUUGGGCGUAAAGCGCGCGCAGGCGGUUCUUUAAGUCUGAUGUGAAAGCCCACGGCUCAACCGUGGAGGGUCAUUGGAAACUGGAGAACUUGAGUACAGAAGAGGAAAGCGGAAUUCCACGUGUAGCGGUGAAAUGCGUAGAGAUGUGGAGGAACACCAGUGGCGAAGGCGGCUUUCUGGUCUGUAACUGACGCUGAGGCGCGAAAGCGUGGGGAGCAAACAGGAUUAGAUACCCUGGUAGUCCACGCCGUAAACGAUGAGUGCUAAGUGUUAGGGGGGUUUUCCGCCCCCCUUAGUGCUGCAGCUAACGCAUUAAGCACUCCGCCCUGGGAGUACGGCCGCAAGGCUG
RNAcentral lists this ribosomal RNA (375 nucleotides) under uncultured organism. RNAcentral's name for it is "partial 16S ribosomal RNA". It matches the Rfam family "Bacterial small subunit ribosomal RNA", at positions 527 to 896 of the family's 1533-position model. The record is from RNAcentral.